Long non-coding RNA from Hylaeus volcanicus, 963 nucleotides. RefSeq lists it as uncharacterized. The record is from RefSeq and is a predicted model, not a curated record. The transcript has 3 exons. NCBI's taxonomy places the organism in Eukaryota, Metazoa, Arthropoda, Insecta, Hymenoptera, Colletidae.
AAUUCAGUUUUCGAAGUCUACGAGUAUUAGACGAGUUUAUAAAGCCACCAAAGUAUUCGAUACGUGUAUCACUUUGGUUCGAUACGACAUUAUUUUCAUCAGGUGUUGGAUAAAAUCAAGCAUAAAUGUGUAUACAAAUUACACAAAUUAAUUUAGAAACAUGAAAGCGAAUAAUAGCGUCUUCUUCGGUGUUCUUGCUUGUCAGGCUCGUAUCAUAAAAACUUACCUAUGCACGAUGUAACUUACAAACGAAAAGAAAGAUGUGUUCUGAUUUUCGAUUGGAAGAAUCCAUUUUCAUCGAUUGCAUACUAGCAAUCAGAAGCCAAAACAUAUUUAGUGUCUUUCGUAAACGUGGGAGUAUACACUCAGGAGUAGUUGAAGAAUUCAACGCGAGAUGGAGCAACAGUAUUCUUAAAGCUCGUUUGAUGCGAGCAUUUGGCUUUGUACAGUGGUUCGUAUAUUCGCGAGUGAUGCAGAGAACCGUGAACGAUGAACGACCUCUUCCAAGAAACGAUUCCAAAAUUUCGUUACAAGUUAUUUGGCAAAACUCCAUUGUCCCUUCCCAUCGUUCCUUUGUUUUGGCAAACUUAGCGACUAGAGGUAAAACAAUCAAAUCCUUAGUAACCUGUAUGCGUUUGUUUUUUAUCGAGUUAAAGUAAAUCUGUCUAAUUUGAAAUUAAAUUGUAUACUUCUCAGACUGUGAUUCGUAACACGAUGAUAUGAAAUCAGUAAAGUGAAACAUAAUCAAAUUUUUUGAAAAUUGAUGAAGUUGAAAGAAAGUAACUACUUGUCACUUUCUGGAAUAAUUAAACAUCCAAGAAGAAAACUUUUUCGGCUCGAUCACUUUACUAUUUACCGAAAGGAAUUUAAGAACCUUCACCAAUUUUUCCCGCAGCGACCGAAUAAUCAUCGAAACACAGCUGAGAGCUAUUCUCAGUUCCAGGAACUUUUAUUUUCCUCUCU